UUUUUUUUGAGUAUAUCGAUUAUGAUGACCGCUGUCGCCCCAAACGGAUUUCGAAAAUAUGAACGAUUCGACUAGCAUUAGCCAAACACUGAAAAUUCUGAUCAAUCGAUUACUUUAUUAAAA
Molecule: small nucleolar RNA, 123 nt
Organism: Kluyveromyces lactis
Lineage: Eukaryota; Fungi; Ascomycota; Saccharomycetes; Saccharomycetales; Saccharomycetaceae
Source: RefSeq, a predicted model, not a curated record